Molecule: long non-coding RNA, 1421 nt
Filed under: Macaca fascicularis (crab-eating macaque)
Lineage: Eukaryota; Metazoa; Chordata; Mammalia; Primates; Cercopithecidae
Description: lncRNA (ENSMFAG00000048390.1)
Source: RNAcentral
AGAGGUCCCAUGGCUGCGUGGAGGUGCAUGGAAGGGGCAGGAGGGAAGUGGUUCCCAGGAAGAGGCACGGCUCCAGGAGAAACUGCUCCAUGGAAAGUCAAGCUGGUUUGCACGAAGAUGGUGGUGGAACAGAGGAGAGAAGGGAGGGCGUUUGAAGUGAGCCAGAAGCCUCCCUAUGUCAGCAAAUCCACUGGUGCCGUGACUUCCCACUGAGCCUCCUGACUUCCUGUUCUGCACUGGCUUGUCUGCUUCCCGGACCUGCUGCACAACUUGCUCUGAGUCCUAUACUUGACGUCCUGCUUUUAGAUCCCAUGCCUUCCAUGCCAUUGGUUUACAAGUUUAUUUUCCUGGGGUACUUCCUUCAGGAACAUUCAAGGAGAGAGCAAAGAAGGUAAACUUUUGCAUGCUUGCAUGUCUCUAAGUGUCUUUCAGUUGACUGAAAGUGUGGCAGAAUGUAGACUACUAAGGUUGAAAACUAUUUCUCAUUGAAUAUGGGGAUCAUUUUUCUUCAGUUUCCUAGAGCUGCUGCUGAAAGUCAGCUGUCAUUCUGACCUCAGUAUCCUUAUGCAUGACCUAUCUGCUUCUCUCUGCAAAGCACUGUCUAACAGACACAGAACAGAAACCGUCUAUGUCAUCUAAAAUUUUCCAGGAGCUACCUUAAAAUAAAAAGAAACAAGUGGAAGUAGUUGUAAUAAUAUGUUAUAUUUAGCCCAAUAUUUAAAAAAUUUUAAAUAUCAUUUUGGCCGGGCAUGGUGGCUCAGGCCUGUAAUCCCAGCACUUUGGGAGGCCGAGGCAGGUGGAUCACAAGGUCAGGAGUUCAAGACCAGCCUGACUAAUAUGGUGAAACCCCAUCUCUACUAAAAAUACAAAAAUUAGCCGGGCAUAGUGGCGCACGCCUGCAGUCCCAGCUACUCAGGAGGCUGAGGCAGGAGAAUCACUUGAACCGCGGAGGUGGAGGUUGCAGUGAGCCAAGAUUGCGCUACUGCACUCCAGCCUGGGCCACAGAGUGAGACUUCAUCUCCAAAUACAUAUAUAAUCAUUUCAACAUAUUUUCAGAAUAAAAACUAUUAAUGAGACAUUUUACUAUUUUGUUUUCUACUAAGCCCAACAAUAUUCAGUGUCUACUUUACACUUACAGCACAUCUCCAUUCAGAGUGGCCGCAUCUCCAGUGCUGAACAGUCAGCCAUGGCUAAUGACCACCGUAUUGAACAGCAUUAAUUUACAAGCUUUCAGGAUUUUCUCUUGAUCCCAAAUAUAUGAAAAUUUCAGGCCAAUAUAUGUCUAGAUGUGGGUCCUCUUCAUUGUCAUGCUGGGCAUCUAUCGAGCCCUUCCAAUCCAGAGACUCAUACACUGCACCUCUGACAGGUUUUCUUGAAGACAAAGAACAAACAAUAGUGUUAGUAGUACUAUUAUCAUGCCC